RNAcentral lists this ribosomal RNA (1591 nucleotides) under Bacillus sp. (in: firmicutes). Its description in RNAcentral is "bacterial SSU rRNA". It matches the Rfam family "Bacterial small subunit ribosomal RNA". The record is from RNAcentral. Lineage: Bacteria; Bacillati; Bacillota; Bacilli; Caryophanales; Bacillaceae.
UGAGUUUGAUGCAGUUGCUCAGGAUGAACGCUGGCGGCGUGCCUAAUACAUGCAAGUCGAGCKAACUGAUUAGAAGCUUGCUUUCUAUGACGUUAGCGGCGGACGGGUGAGUAACACGUGGGCAACCUGCCUGUAAGACUGGGAUACACUUUCGGGGAAACCCGAAGGCUGAAUACCCGGAUAGGGAUCUUCUCCUUCAUGGGAGGAAUGAUUGAAAAGAUGGUUUCGGCUAUCACUUACAGAUCCGGGCAACCGCGGUGCAUUAGCUAGUUGGUGAGGUAACGGCUCACCAAGGCAACGAUGCAUAGCCGACCUGAGAGGGUGAUCGGCCACACUGGGACUGAGACACGGCCCAGACUCCUACGGGAGGCAGCAGUAGGGAAUCUUCCGCAAUGGACGAAAGUCUGACGGAGCAACGCCGCGUGAGUGAUGAAGGCUUUCGGGUCGUAAAACUCUGUUGUUAGGGAAGAACAAGUACAAGAGUAACUGCUUGUACCUUGACGGUACCUAACCCAGAAAGCCACGGCUAACUACGUGCCAGCAGCCGCGGUAAUACGUAGGUGGCAAUGGCUGUUAUUCGCGGAAUUAUUGAGGCGUAAAGCGCGCGCAGGCGGUUUCUUAAGUUCUUGAUGUGAAAGCCCACGGCUCAACCGUGGAGGGUCAUUGGAAACUGGGGAACUUGAGUGCAGAAGAGAAAAGACGGAAUUUCCACGUGUAGCGGUGAAAUGCGUAGAGAUGUGGAGGGAACACCCAGUGGCGAAGGCGGCUUUUUGGUCUGUAACUGACGCUGAGGCGCGAAAGCGUGGGGAGCAAACAGGAAUUAGAUACCCUGGUAGUCCACGCCGUAAACGAUGAGUGCUAAGUGGUUAAGAGGGUUUCCCGCCCUUUAGUGCUGCAGCUUAACGCAUUAAGCCACUCCCGCCUGGGGGGAGUACGGGUCGGCAAGAACUGAAACCUCAAAGGAAUUUGACCGGGGGGACCGCGCACACAGCAAGCGCUGGGUAGCAGUGUUGAGCUAUGUAAUUGCGAAGUCAACGCGAAGAACCUUACCAGGUCUUGACAUCCUCUGACAACUCUAGAGAUAGAGCGUUCCCCUUCGGGGGACAGAGUGACAGGUGGUGCAUGGUUGAUCGUCAGCUUCGCUGUCAGUGAGAUGUUGGGUUAAGUCCCGCAACGAGCGCAACCCUUGAUCUUAGUUGCCAGCAUUUAGUUGGGCACUCUAAGGUGACUGCCGGUGACAAACCGGAGGAAGGUGGGGAUGACGUCAAAUCAUCAUGCCCCUUAUGACCUGGGCUACACACGUGCUACAAUGGAUGGUACAAAGGGCUGCAAGACCGCGAGGUCAAGCCAAUCCCAUAAAACCAUUCUCAGUUCGGAUUGUAGGCUGCAACUCGCCUACAUGAAGCUGGAAUCGCUAGUAAUCGCGGAUCAGCAUGCCGCGGUGAAUACGUUCCCGGGGCCUUGUACACACCGCCCGUCACACCACGAGAGUUUGUAACCACCCGAAAGUCGGUGGAGUAACCGUAAGGAGCUAGCCGCCUAAGGUGGGACAGAAUUGAAUUGGGGUGAAGUCGUAACAAGGUACCCGAAA